Molecule: ribosomal RNA, 572 nt
Filed under: uncultured fungus
Lineage: Eukaryota; Fungi
Description: eukaryotic LSU rRNA
Rfam family: 5.8S ribosomal RNA (bases 210-363)
Source: RNAcentral
GUCGUAACAAGGUCUCCGUAGGUGAACCUGCGGAGGGGUCAUUACACAAAUAUGAAGGCGGGCUGGAACCUCUCGGGGUUACAGCCUUGCUGAAUUAUUCACCCUUGUCUUUUGCGUACUUCUUGUUUCCUUGGUGGGUUCGCCCACCACUAGGACAAACAUAAACCUUUUGUAAUUGCAAUCAGCGUCAGUAACAAAUUAAUAAUUACAACUUUCAACAACGGAUCUCUUGGUUCUGGCAUCGAUGAAGAACGCAGCGAAAUGCGAUAAGUAGUGUGAAUUGCAGAAUUCAGUGAAUCAUCGAAUCUUUGAACGCACAUUGCGCCCUUUGGUAUUCCAAAGGGCAUGCCUGUUCGAGCGUCAUUGGUACCCCCAAGCUUUGCUUGGUGUUGGGCGUCUUGUCUCUAGCUUUGCUGGAGACUCGCCUUAAAGUAAUUGGCAGCCGGCCUACUGGUUUCGGAGCGCAGCACAAGUCGCACUCUCUAUCAGCAAAGGUCUAGCAUCCAUUAAGCCUUUUUUUCAACUUUUGACCUCGGAUCAGGUAGGGAUACCCGCUGAACUUAAGCAUAUCA